AGGACGAACGCUGGCGGCGUGCUUAACACAUGCAAGUCGAGCGGUAAGGCUCCUUCGGGAGUACACGAGCGGCGAACGGGUGAGUAACACGUGAGCAAUCUGCCCUUCUCUUCGGAAUAACCAUUGGAAACGAUGGCUAAUGCCGAAUACGACCUCCUUUCGCAUGAUCGGAGGUGGAAAGCUCCGGCGGAGAAGGAUGAGCUCGCGGCCUAUCAGCUAGUUGGCGGGUAACGGCCACCAAGGCGACGACGGGUAGCCGGCCUGAGAGGGUGACCGGCCACACUGGGACUGAGACACGGCCCAGACUCCUACGGGAGCAGCAGUGGGGAAUAUGGACAAUGGGACGAAAGCCUG
Molecule: ribosomal RNA, 354 nt
Filed under: uncultured soil bacterium
Lineage: Bacteria
Description: bacterial SSU rRNA
Rfam family: Bacterial small subunit ribosomal RNA
Source: RNAcentral